GACGAACGCUGGCGGCGUGCUUAACACAUGCAAGUCGAACGGAAAGGCCCUGCUUUUGUGGGGUGCUCGAGUGGCGAACGGGUGAGUAACACGUGAGUAACCUGCCCUUGACUUUGGGAUAACUUCAGGAAACUGGGGCUAAUACCGGAUAGGGGCUCCUGCUGCAUGGUGGGGGUUGGAAAGUUUCGGCGGUUGGGGAUGGACUCGCGGCUUAUCAGCUUGUUGGUGGGGUAGUGGCUUACCAAGGCUUUGACGGGUAGCCGGCCCGAGAGGGUGACCGGCCACAUUGGGACUGAGAUACGGCCCAGACUCCUACGGGAGGCAGCAGUGGGGAAUAUUGCACAAUGGGCGGAAGCCUGAUGCAGCAACGCCGCGUGCGGGAUGACGGCCUUCGGGUUGUAAACCGCUUUCGCCUGUGACGAAGCGUGAGUGACGGUAAUGGGUAAAGAAGCACCGGCUAACUACGUG
RNAcentral lists this ribosomal RNA (468 nucleotides) under uncultured bacterium. RNAcentral's name for it is "partial 16S ribosomal RNA". It matches the Rfam family "Bacterial small subunit ribosomal RNA", at positions 28 to 507 of the family's 1533-position model. The record is from RNAcentral.